CAAGACCGGCGUUCUACGCUGGCCAAGUAAAAACCCAAUUUCUGAGAGUCUUAUGAUCAAUUAUAUAGCAAUUAUGGAUACCAUAAGACGGCGUUCUAAACUGGCCAAGUGAAAACCUGAUAUUUAAGGGCCUUUUGAUCAAUUAUCUAGUAGUUAUAGGUGCCUCAGAACGCCGUUCUAAGCUGAACAAGUGAGAAACUGAUUUCUAAAGGUCUUAUGAUCAAUUUUAUAGUAGUUAUAGGUACCACGACACCGCGUUUUAAGCUGGCCAUGUGAGAACCCUAUUUCUGAGGCGUUCUAAGUUAGGUUGAUUAGGGCCCAAUAGAUGCUAGGUCGCAGUGCAUACCUCAUUUUCCCAUCUAGGUCGAUCAAAGUCAGCCAAGUGAGAACCCGAUUUAUGAGGGUCCUAUGAUCAAUUAUAUAGUUGUUAUAGUAGGAAACCUGUUAGGUUGAUCUAGGUCGAUCCUAACCUCUCUUAACCUCACCUAAUCUAUGCAUAUUUACAUAUUACAUGCAAAAAAUAUUUAAUAAAAUUCAAAUUUCCCAACAUAUUGUAAAUACAAAUUUAAAACCAAGCGCAUUUGCAACCAUGAAAAGAAAUUCAAAAUCAAAAUGAAUGUCAAAUUUCGUUGCACCGAACUGUUACAAACAAAGACACAAAGCGUGCCGAGCGCGAGUGACACGACCACUUCGUCUCUUUUCGUCGUCUUCUCGCCUACAAACAAACGGUUGGCGCGACAAAAAGAGUCUUCGUGUGAACAAGCGAGCAAGAACAACAAACAAGUAUGCGCCCGAGCACGGGCACACGUUCCCUUCGUCUUUGCUCGCCGUACAAUCGCCAACAAAAACAAAAACUGGUUUAAUUAAAAAAAAAGAGUCCGUGUGUGAACCGACACACAGCAAACUUGUCAAAAUUUAUACUCGAUACACGUAAAGCUACGAAGACGGAAACAAUUUGCGAAGAAAUACAUCAAAUAAAAAACCAAAUUGAACACUAGCUUACUAGAACACAACAAAAACUUUAGCAAUAUUGCAAAAUUUGAACGGGAUAAUGCUUUAAUUGAGUCUACAAUGCUAAAACUGGAACCAUAUAUCACUUACCACUUAACCACUAACCCGAAAACGAAAACGAAAAUGGCGCGCAACUAUCAGGCCCAUAAUUAUAUAUAUAAUAGUUAGCAUCAAAAUUGACUUUUGCAAAUAGCAACAACUAUUUGACAUUUACUUGUAUAUGGGGAAAUCUAUCUAAAACUCUCAAAAAGUUACUACUAACUUUAAAGUCUCUCGAGUCCGAGUCUACUAAAAUAUGCAUAUGAGUAUUUCGACUAUGUUUGUUUAAGCGUCGUAUAAGCAAACAAGCUGCAAAAGCUAAAUGCAAAUGUAACGGUUUAGCUGAGGUGACGUCACGUAAAGCGUAAGCAGAAUAGAAAAAAUAAACAACAAAUUGUUAUGGUUAUAGAGUUUUAAAAACAAAAGCAAAGUUACAUUAAUAAUAAUAAGAAAUUAAGUAUAAUAAAUAACACACCAAAAAUAAAAAAUAAUAAAUGCAUAACAUUUACUAGAUAAAAAGAGAGCGUGAAAAAAUCAGAAGAAAGCAACUGAAUUGCAUACAAAAAAAUUGUUGAAAAUUAGUCACUUCAUAUUAUUAUACACUUAAUAAAAAUAAAGAAGAAAAAAAAAACAACAACAACAUAACAAAAUAAUAAUAAUGAA
Molecule: long non-coding RNA, 1713 nt
Organism: Bactrocera neohumeralis
Lineage: Eukaryota; Metazoa; Arthropoda; Insecta; Diptera; Tephritidae
Exons: 2
Source: RefSeq, a predicted model, not a curated record